GACGAACGCUGGCGGCGUGCUUAACACAUGCAAGUCGAACGGAGAGGGCCUGCUUUGGUGGGGUGCUCGAGUGGCGAACGGGUGAGUAACACGUGAGUAACCUGCCCUUUAGUGUGGGAUAACUUCAGGAAACUGGGGCUAAUACCGGAUAGGAGCUGCUGCUGCAUGGUGGUGGUUGGAAAGUUUCGACGGCUGGGGAUGGACGUGCGGCUGCGCAGCUUGUGGGUGGGGGAGUGGCUAAGCAAGGCCUUGGCGGGUAGCCGGCCUGGGAGUGUGACCGGGCACAGUGGGACUGAGGUAGGAGCCAGAGUGCAACGUGAGGCAGCGGUGGAGAAUAUUGCACAAAGGGCGGAGGCGUGAUAGAACGACGUCGGGUGCGAGAUGACGGUUGUCGGGGUGUAAACCGCGUUAGCGUGUGACGUUGCGUGUGUGACGGUAACGGGUAAAGAAGCACCGGCUAACUACGUG
RNAcentral lists this ribosomal RNA (468 nucleotides) under uncultured bacterium. RNAcentral's name for it is "partial 16S ribosomal RNA". It matches the Rfam family "Bacterial small subunit ribosomal RNA", at positions 28 to 507 of the family's 1533-position model. The record is from RNAcentral.